GCCGGGAGCAGGGAGCGGGGGGGGGCGCGGAGCCUCCCAGCCUUUGCUGUUUCCUUCCCAGCUGCUGGAGCCGGACCUUCCUGUAGAGCCCCCGAGCCGGGGGUCUGCGUCCUCCCAGGACUCCGGGAGCUGGCACCCAGGGCUUCGGGGCUGCCUUUCCGCGCGGCUCGCGUAGCAGACCCCUGUGUGGGUCGCGGGUGCGCCCAGGGAGACGGGCCGUGUCUGGUGCCCGAGAAGAGGGAGGAAGGUGCAAAGAGAUGCAGCACCGUGGGCAGUUCUCCCCCGGCCCCGGCUGGGCCAAGUGGUGAAAUGAAGCUCGGCCAGGUAAGGCCUGUGUGCCCUGUGUCAGGUAACCCCAAAGCAGCAGACGUCUCGCACUGAACGGGGGCUUACGGCGCUCCAGAGCUGGCACCUUUGCCCAAAGAGCAAGGCAGGAUGCCCUGCAGUGUGAUUCAUGCUCCCAGCAUUGCAAGAGCUUCUCCGGGUCCGUUUAUCUGAGCUCUGUCCGGGGCCCUGAUCCUGGGAAGACGCAUGCAUACGUGUGCAUGCCCUCAGCACCCGCCCCGUAGCGGGGGACAUCCUGCCGUGUCCAGCUCAGGGUGUGCUGGGCUCUAAGAUGCCAAGACAGAUGUCACCCUCUUGGCUAUGCUCUCUUGAAGCACUGUGGUAUCGAGGACCGGCCUCUCCCCAGGAUCCUGCUGCCUCUCAUAAAAGGUUCUGGGCCUGUAGCACUUAAAUGGCCAUUUUCAGUGCGGGCGGCCUCGUCACUGAGCUCCGCUAGCUGCGUCCCUCGUCCCCGCCUGCCCCCGUGGCCCCAGGAGAGGGGCUGGCACAUGCAUUGUAGAGAACAGCCUGUUUGCUGCUCUCCCGCCCACGUGCCGAGGCAGUGGCUGCAUUCGGCAGGCGUGACGGGCUCCUAUAAAUCACAGCGUUGCUUUUUCGAGGGGGAGUGGGCAGGCAGCUGGCAGCUGAAGGAGAAGGGCCCAGGGGUGGCAGCGCCGGCUUCAGACCCACGCUUGGCAGCUGCGGGUUCCCAGUCCACGAUGAUGAAUGUGAUGGCUGAGGAGUUCCCGCUCGUCUAUCCCAGGCGAGCAGAAUUAAUCUCUAAAGGCCACUAAGAGGUGGCUGCUUUCCCUGUCUGCACGCAGAGGAACCCAUGCAAGGCCUGAGACCUUCGUGGCCAGCACGGCAGGUGCCCGUGGGCCCGGCUGCAUUGCUGGCAGUGCACGUCGGCAGUCCUGUCAAACUGGAUCCCAUCUCGCUGGCUCAUGUCCCCGGACCAGUAAAGAAGCAAUGGCCCAUGCAGCCCUCGGGUGUCCCCGGAGAUUAGCAGGCAGCCGUCAACACGGAUUGCAAGCACCUUUGUUUCUCACGUUUAUUUGAAGUCGUGCAAAAUAUAUGGCAAUGAGGGCCACCGUUGUCUUGCUGCCAGACACAGCCGCGGGAGAGGUUGCGCUAUCACGGUCUGAUGCUGCCAAGAUCCUCCUUUGCCUCUUUCAGUGCGAGUGAAAGGGCCCGAGCCAGAAAUGUGGAGAAAGCCGAGGGGUGCGGAGGGACUGAAGCACUUCAAACGCCUUUGAAGCACUUUGGAGUUAGUAGUGCAGAUGCACGUGCUGGUUGACACGCUCUAAAAGCACCGGAGCAGGUGCAGUCGGGCAUGUGGCAUGUCCAGGACUGGGGCCACUUGGUGGCCGGGCUCCAUUUCCCUGCAGCCCUGGUGGUGGCAGCUUCUUUCGGCUCCUGGAAAACGAAGCAUGCAGCCCUGGCCCCAGCCCACCCCGCCUCGGGGGCUGAGAUCCCUGCAGCACCCGCUCCAGACCCGCCUGCCCCAGCCACGAUGAGUGGUGGUGGGGGCUGGGCAGAGGCUGCUGCUGGGCACUGGAAAAAAGUGGGACGUGGCAGCAGUGGGACCUGGCUUACUCCUCUACUUGGGCUCGGACCAAUUGCCAGGAAAUGAGGUGGUCAGAGAUGUUUGACUCCUUGCUGCCCCGUCGAUGGAUGGGAGCACUCCAGAGGCUGAGGACUGCGUGCAUCCCCUGAUGAAUUGCUACCUGGGUCUGCCCCGCAAGGAGCAGCGCAUGUACAGUGCACAGUGAAUAAAAUCCACCUGUCUGGUCACAUUCUGCUGAAUGAUCAAUGGAGUCUGGAGCGAGGAGGGGAAAGGAAUGAAAUGCUGACGGCAACUCCUAGCCCCAACUUUCACUUUACUGCUGUAAUUGAGUGCAGGCGUAUUAGCAUGGGUUCUGCCAGCAGGAAA
Alligator sinensis (Chinese alligator) is the source of this 2257-nucleotide long non-coding RNA. RefSeq lists it as uncharacterized. The record is from RefSeq and is a predicted model, not a curated record. The transcript has 5 exons. Lineage: Eukaryota; Metazoa; Chordata; Crocodylia; Alligatoridae.